UCCGGGGUCGGCUAAUGGUAGGCCACAUGGCUCUGGACCAUGGAAUCGGGGUUCGAAUCCCUGCCCCGGAG
Molecule: transfer RNA, 71 nt
Filed under: Candidatus Sungbacteria bacterium RIFCSPLOWO2_01_FULL_59_16
Lineage: Bacteria; Candidatus Sungiibacteriota
Description: tRNA-Gln
Rfam family: tRNA
About the family: Transfer RNA (tRNA) molecules are approximately 80 nucleotides in length.
Source: RNAcentral